Molecule: ribosomal RNA, 371 nt
Filed under: uncultured bacterium
Lineage: Bacteria
Description: bacterial SSU rRNA
Rfam family: Bacterial small subunit ribosomal RNA
Source: RNAcentral
GAAGGGGGCUAGCGUUGUUCGGAAUUACUGGGCGUAAAGCGCGUGUAGGCGGUUGCCAAAGUCGGGUGUGAAAGCCUUGAGCUCAACUCAAGAAAUGCACUCGAUACUUGGUGACUAGAGGACCGGAGAGGAUAGUGGAAUUCCCAGUGUAGUGGUGAAAUACGUAGAGAUUGGGAAGAACACCAGUGGCGAAGGCGGCUAUCUGGACGGUUUCUGACGCUAAGACGCGAAAGCGUGGGGAGCAAACAGGAUUAGAUACCCUGGUAGUCCACGCCGUAAACGAUGGGUGCUAGACGUUGGCGAGCUUGCUCGUCAGUGUCGCAGCUAACGCGUUAAGCACCCCGCCUGGGGAGUACGGCCGCAAGGUUGAA